Trifolium pratense (red clover) is the source of this 2339-nucleotide RNA transcript. It is a transcript of the gene named putative G-type lectin S-receptor-like serine/threonine-protein kinase At1g61610, with no coding region annotated. Lineage: Eukaryota; Viridiplantae; Streptophyta; Magnoliopsida; Fabales; Fabaceae. The transcript is spliced from 2 exons. The record is from RefSeq and is a predicted model, not a curated record.
UUUGGCUUCUUAAUAAACAAUCUCAACGAUUACACAAUUUGUCACCAAACUAAAUCCUAGUAUCCUCAAAAAACAUCAUCAUCAUCUAAACAUUUUUGUUACACAUUUAUGGCUUUCCUAAAUCAUAACAUAAAUCACUUGUUCAUUACUACUUUGCUCAUUUUUUGUACCUUUUAUUCAUGUUAUAGUUCAGUCAACGACACAAUUACAUCAUCCAAAUCACUCAAAGACCAAGAGACUAUAACCUCAAACAACACAAAUUUCAAGCUAGGAUUUUUCAGCCCAAAAAAUUCAACCAACCGUUACCUAGGAAUUUGGUAUAUCAAUGAAACCAACAACAUAUGGAUUGCAAACAGAGAUCAACCUCUUAAAGAUUCAUCAGGAAUAGUCACAAUUGACAAACAUGGAAAUCUUGUAAUAUUGAACAAUCAAAAUGGUACCAUCAUUUGGACAACAAAUAUUUCAAAUACUUCAACAAAUUCAACAGCUCAACUUAAUGAUUUAGGAAACUUGAUUCUAAGGGACAACAAUUCUGGAAUAACAAUUUGGGAUAGUUUCUCACACCCUGCAGAUGCAGCUGUUCCAACAAUGAGAAUUUCAACUAAUAAAAUAACAGGUAAGAAAAUAGCUUUUGUAGCAAGAAAAAGUGACAAUGAUCCUUCUUCAGGACCAUUUUCAGCUAGUAUUGAAAGAUUGGGUACCCCGGAAGUGUUUAUUUGGCAUGAUACAAAUAUUCAUUGGAGAACUGGUCCAUGGAAUGGAAGAGUUUUUCUCGGAUCACCAAGAAUGUUAACCGAGUAUUUAUCCGGUUGGCGUUUAGUUCCGGACGAUGAUGAAACUUAUUUAACUUACGAUUUCAAAGACAAAACUAUGUUUGGAAUUCUCUCAUUGACACCACAUGGAAAACUUAAGUUGGUUGAGUAUAUUAAUAAAAAGGAAAUUUUAAGACUUGAGGUUGAUCAAAGACACUUUCCUAUGAUCCUCACUUCCCCCCCAAAAAAAUUUAAUCAAUAUAGAUUCAAUAGAAGAGAUAAUACCUGAGGGAGCUUUAAAGAAAGAAAGAGCAUAAACAGGCAAAGAAGUCAGCACAGAUUUAAGCAAAACUAAACGACCACCAAUAGAGAGGAAUCGACUUCUCCAACCCGAUAACCUAUUCUUUAGACGAUCCAAAACCGGUUCCCAAAAACAUAAACGCCUCGGAUCACCCCCAAUAGGAAGGCCCAAGUAAAGGAAAGGGAUCUUCCCUACUUUACAGCACAUAGCAGACGCCGCCUCACCUAACCAAGAAUCAGGGAUGUUAACCCCAACCAGCAUGCUUUUGUGAAAAUUCACUCGCAAACCAGACAUAGACUCGAACAACACAAGGACAGCGCGCAAAGCUCGUACGUUCGCCCAGCUCUUAGUCCCCAUCAACAACGUAUCAUCAGCAAACUGAAGAUGCGACACCGACACUUGUGCAAGUUCACCCACACUGUACCCCGUAAACAUAUUGCGCUCCACCAUUGCUUCCAUCAAUACAUGAAAUUAUAGGAACAUACAAAACGAGUUUAAAUGUCAACUCAGAGUAUGAAGAGUCAACUCUGAAGUUAUCUAUACCAAAGACAAGCAUGGUUCUGAACGAGGAGUCAAAAGCAGUCAAGUUUUGAACAGGAAAGCAUCAAGAAAACAUCUACGGUUAACUCUAAAGCGAGAUAAUUCAACCCUUUGUGGAAAUCAGACUACGCUGUGAAGACUGAAUCUGAAACUAAAGAUUGGUUCUGAGUUGAAGACCAUUUAUAAAGCUGAAAAUGAAAUCCGAAGCCGAAGACAAGUUCUAAAGAAGAGACGUGUUCUGGAAAGAGCCUAUAGCCUCUAUGUGAUUCUAGUGCUUAUCAAAAGAUUCGUAGUGACAAUGAUAAGUCAUGUCCUUCCUGAAAACCUGCUCACUAGACUGACACAUUUGUCCUCUUGCUCAAGAACGUCAAACUUCAUUGGCUUGCACAAAGUAAUUUGUAUCGGUCAUAUUAAAUGUUACAUGAAACAUGCUCACAGUCAACGAUGUUGAAGAAAGAUUAUUUCCAAGUGGUUCAAUUAUUGAAGAAGUAUUAGUGUUUAACAUUAGUCUUCAAAUUUUGUCAAAAAAACAAACAUUACUCUUGAAAUUAUGAGUGUAUAAUAUACGGAUCAUUGGGAGUUAUGGUAGGGGUAAGUGUUGUCGUUGUAAAGUGAUCCUAGUGUAGCUCCCUUAUCCAAUUAAUUAGUCCUUUUUUCUUUGGACAACACUUAUCCUAUUAGUCUUAGAUAUAGAAAGUAGAAGAAAAUAUUUUGAAUAACACCUUCAUAUUUUGGAUAAAGACAAA